GCAUUUCAAUAUUUUGCUUUCAUUGAAUUCAGGUUCCUGAUGACAUUCUAAUCGACAGAUGUGUUGGAAGACGGCUGGAUCCUGUUACUGGGAACAUUUACCAUGUAAAAUACUUCCCCCCGGAGAAUGAGGAGAUUUCUGCCCGACUUAUUACACGUUCUGACGAUACAUUUGAGAAGGUUAAAUCGCGUCUUGAUACAUACAAGCAAAAUUCUGAAGCUAUUCUUCCUACAUACUCAGAUGUGCUUAAGCAGAAUACAGAUCGAUGGAAAUCGCCCAGUUGAAGUCAUUUUUCAGGAGAUAGAUUCCCUAUUACAGAAGAUCUGUGAGAACACUUCAGCAAACAAGUUGACCCAAACAAAUGGAAGACCAUCUGAUUUUGUGGAUACAGGUUCAAAAAAUGAGUGGCGUGGAAUUCCGACAAGAUUGAAUAACAUUCCACAUUCCAGGGAAAUUAGGAAAUACUUCUACGAUGAUGUAUUACAUGCUACAAAACGUGCUAUUGAAGACAAAAAGACUCGGUUGCUGAUAGACAUCAACAUUCCUGAACUUAACCCUGAAAUGGAUGUUUACCGCAUAGGUACCCUUAUGGAACUUGUAAGAGAACUUUCUCUAUCCUUUGCUGAUGAUGGAAAACGUGUCAAGGUGUGUGUUCAAGGCUCCAUGGGGCAAGGUGCAUUUGCUGGCAUCCCACUUCAACUGGCAGGAACCAGAAAAUUUUUAGAAUUCAUGGACUGGGGUGACUAUGGGGCGAAGGGUACCUUCAUUAAUAUUGGAGCAGUAGGUGCUAGCGAGGUUGACAAACAAGAUGAUAUGUUUAUCCUCAUUGCUCCUCAAAAUGCUGUUGGAAACUGCAUAAUUGAUGAUAUGAGAGCUAUGACUGAUGCUGCUGGUGACAGACCUGUGAUUCUUGUAAACCCUCGCCUAAAGGAUAUGCCUGGAUCAAGUGGUGUAAUGCAAACAAUGGGAAGAGACAUGAGGCUAAAGUAUGCUGCAUCAUUCGAGACCUGCUAUUCAUUUCGGCUUCUCUACUAUGCUGGCUCAUUCUAUCCUAUCAUGGGAGCUUUAAGGAUGGCUUAUCCAAAUAAAUAUGAGAUUUAUCGAAGGGUUGAUGAGCCCAAUGGGAAAGAGAAAUAUGUUCUUAUAGCUGAAUUCACAGACAAGCCAACUCCUGAUGACAUUACAAGUGCUUUCAAAGGACGAAAAAAGCACCAAAAAGGAAAUGAGCAGCAUCAGCAAAGAUAUCUACUCGUUGUCGUCCUCCUCGGUGUCAUCCUCCUCCUCGUCAUCAUGCUCAUGGUACUGCGGCAGAAUUUCCUCCUCAGUGUCAUCGUCAUCACCGUGGGUGUGACGGGAACGGUGUGAAGCGGCACGAGUCCUUGGAGCAGGAGCAUGAGGGGCAGGAUCAACAUUAGCUUGAGCAACUUGAGUUUCUUGAGCAUCUCUUUCAGCAAACGGAUCAUCAAAAUCUGGAAGCUCAUGAUAGAGUGCAGUACCCUCUUGAUCAUGGAUCUGUUACCAUGCCGGCGAGAAGAACUAGGAGCAUCUGAAGGUGCUCGAUAUGGAAUAGGAAUAGGAGGAUCAUCGACAACAGGAGCAGAACUAGAAGAACUCCGAUGCCUAGAAGAUGGAAGUGCAUCUGCAUCACGAGAACUAAGGGAUGAGGAAAAGGCAUCUUCGGGAUUCUGGGGUUUCUUAAGUGGUAUAUUGUGAGGCAAGUGGUCUACUAUAAAAUGACGCCAUCCAUCUUUCUUGGUAUUAUUUCUAUCAAAGCUCAGAAUUGAAUGGAAGAAGCAAAUAUGAAACCUUUACCUUUUCCAAUCUGAUACAUCAGCUAAGAAUGGCAUUGUUGAUCCGUAGGUUUUGUAUGCUUUCCCCAUUCAGCCUUUUUUAGUGCAUCAUCGAUUUCCCCGUUCCUUAGAUUUUUUUUGGAGAAAAGGAGUAUUCCCGCUUUAUUUCAAGGAAACAGAGCAUAAGGUCCAAGUUAUUCAGUAUAUAUAUACAAGGAGCAGCAUGCACUAUUUGCCGUCAUAUGGAUAGUCUGAUUGGCCGACCAAUAUAUUUCCUAAUUGGAUGAAAAUUCGAUUAUAGAAGAUGUAUAUGUACACAUGGAGCCGCAUGCACUCCUAUGGAUAGCUUAUUGGAUAGCCAAUACAUUUCCUAAUUGGAUGGGAUUAAGAUUACAGAAGUUACCACCCAAACAUAGCCGGCAAAUACAUUUUCUAAUCGAGUUGAAUCAAUUAUAAGGAUUCAUUGGCCGGCCAAUACCUUUCAAAAUUGAGUUGAAUCAAUUUGGGUGAUUGAUAGGCCGAUCAAUAUUUUUUUAGGUGUAUUGGAGUACUGUAUCUGUAUUGGAUUACUAAUAUAAGCUAAUAAGAAUGAAAAAGUUAUUUUCCUUCUAAACAUAGCCGCCCAUUACAGUUCCAAUUAAAUUGGUGCAAUCUUUAGAAUACUAUAAUAUGAAUUUAUUUCCCCCACAUGCAUAGCUAUCUUUAUAUCUAUAUAUAUACUUUAAGAGGCUUUGGGGUUCUUGCCCCUAUUUCGAAGUGAAAUGGUGAUUUUCCUUAUAUUUUUUGAACUUUGUGAAUUUGCCCCUGCUUUUUGAAAAUGAAGGUAGAGUUUGUCCCUAUUCCAUAAAAGGUAGUUUAUGGUGUUAAAAUUCUUUGAAAAGACCAAUUUGCCCUUGUGGAUUUGCCCCUACUAUUAUCUAAUUUUGGUGAUUUACCCCUGUUUUGAAUAGAAUAACAUUUUGAUUGGUCUUAAAUGAACUUUCUCUAGCAAAUUGAAACCAGAUUUUUAUGACUUGCAAAAAUGACCAAAAUUUGAUAAACUUUUCAAAAUUUUGGCAGCAAUAUGACACAACAUGAUAAGUUCAAGUUCACAUAACUUGCAUAACAUACGUAUAUAUGUCCACAAAAGUAACAUAUCACAUUCCAUCAUGUCCAAACAGAGGCACCAUCAUAUUCAUAUCAGAUUCCAAAACUCAAGUCCAACAAAAGGCAAAGUUUUGGAGAGGUUAUAGAGGUCAAAUGAAAAGCAUCACAUCUGAGAAUCUAUGCCGAAUAAUGCGGCCAAACUUUUUGUGGCUCUUCCUCCUCCUCCCCUUCCCCUACCUAGUCCAGUUGUUGCCCCUGCCGUUUUCCCUCCUCUUUCCGGCCCUCUUCCCCUACUUGUAGUUGCACUUGAAGGUAGUAAAAUCUUCGAUAAUAUUCGUGGCGGGGGAGGCGCCGGGGCAGCUUGGACACGUCGGGUUGGCUAGCACCAAUCUCUGGCCCCUGCAAUGCCGAUCGGUUGGCUAGCGCCGUAUUGGAACAUGCGAUCCUUGCAUCUCAAUCGUUGGGCUCGCGUUGCGUUGCCGAACAAUCAGGUGCCUGCCUAGUUCUGCGCUUCGCCUGUUGGUGCAGUGUCUCCAAACUGCACGGACACUACAACAGUCUCGGAGAGCGCGUUAGGUGAAGAUGCAAGAGCACAAUGAAGAAGUUGUGGUCUUCAGACUGGUGUCCGGCUUUCUCACUCUUUGUUUUCAAUGUCCCAUCAAUGAUUGUUACAUGGGUAUUUAUUAGGGCGUUGUUCACCUCCCUUGGCUGAUUACGAUCCAAAACUCUUACAACGGCCAUAUUCCUGGAAUAUUCUAGGGGCAUAGGGUAAUUUCCCUCCUCAUUUCCCUAAGUGGAUUACAGCUCAUCUUGGACCCUCCUGUCAGACGACCUCGAUGUUGGCGGCCAAAACUGGCAAAUACUGUGGCCGAUUGGUCUGACCGGUUGGGCCGAUAGGUCGGACCUUGGCGGCCAAAAUUGGCCAAUACUGUGGCCGAUUGGUCUGACCGGUUAGGCCGACAGGUCAGACCGGUCUAGGCCUAUAAUCUGAGUCUGGUUAGGGUUUUAGAUUUGGAGUCCUUUUGUAACCCGAUUUGGAAGGGGUACAUCCUCCCCGGCCUAUAAAUAUAAAGGCUACGGCCGAUUGAGGGUUUUCUAAACACAAUCGAAUCAAAACAAUUCUAUUUACACUAUUUUCCAAACCCUAGCUUUUUCAACCCCUUUGAUGUUCUUUGCUCGUCUCUACAGCAUUCAAGGGCGUCUUGGGUGGCCUGCCGACCUCAAGACAACCCUAGUUCUUCAAGCUCCGACAGGGUCUCUCCCGAGCUUGAGCUUCUAGGUCUAUGCAUACUUCUGCUUCCAACCGGUCAGUUCGGUCGGUCUGACCGGUUGCUGCCUGAAGUUCGCUGGUGAUUGAUCACUGCGAUCCACCCAUACUAGCGCAUUGGUGUGUUGACCGAAUUAGCGUCAACAUACUUUUUGGCGACUCCGCUGGGGAAGAAGCAAUCUACACCGGUUCCCAUUAUCUCAAGGUUGUGAAUGCCCAGCCCCCAUAGAUCGAUAGAUCUCAUAACCUUUUCCUAGGAUACUAAACAAUUGCCGCCAUUGGCUUGUUUCCUGCCCGUCCAAAGAAAUCCUCUUCUUGUUUUAUCAAGAGCUCGCAAGAACCACUUGGGAACUUUUAUGGCGACCAGCAAAUGGAUGGGAAUUGCUGUGAGCACGAAGCGUACAAGCACUGUUCGACCAGCCAAGGAUAUCUUUUGUGAGCUGGAGAUCUUCAGCAUUUGAACUGAUAAAGAGUGCCACAUCGUCAGCAUAGAGAGAGAGUCUCUGCCCGGUGGAAUGCAAAGGUGAUAGCAGUCCUUCAGCAUCAGCCUUGAUAAACAAACUGCUUAUGUGUAUAUAAGCUCAUUAUUAGCAAUCAAGUGAGACACCAAAAUUGAUAUGUGAUUCUAGGUAUCUCUUUAGUAUUUUCAGUACUACAUUGAGUAUGGGUUAAGCUCCUAUUACUUUUUCUGAAUUCUGGAGACAAUUUUAUGUUGUUACAAACUUAUUCAA
RNA transcript from Panicum virgatum (switchgrass), 4874 nucleotides. It is a transcript of the gene named probable adenylate kinase 5, chloroplastic, with no coding region annotated. The record is from RefSeq and is a predicted model, not a curated record. NCBI's taxonomy places the organism in Eukaryota, Viridiplantae, Streptophyta, Magnoliopsida, Poales, Poaceae. The transcript has 19 exons.